CCAGUGUCCAUUCAUGAAUGGAAGAAUCAAUUUUUUUUACUUCUUCUUCUUCUUUCUCUUGGAGCUUUCCUUUGUGCUGGGGCGAUCCGAGAACUGGCACCAACGAGAAUAGUAUAGUCGGGUGGAUGCCACUGACCGGAAAGACUUUCUCCGACUAAAAGAUAUGAAAGUUCCACCACAGUGAGAGCUGAUGAUCAAACAGGCUCUCUACGAUGUCAGAC
This 221-nucleotide long non-coding RNA is filed under the name Elaeis guineensis (African oil palm). RNAcentral describes it as "long non-coding RNA (EGUI_LNC026435)". Lineage: Eukaryota; Viridiplantae; Streptophyta; Magnoliopsida; Arecales; Arecaceae. The record is from RNAcentral.